This is a long non-coding RNA of Zalophus californianus (California sea lion), 2485 nucleotides long. RefSeq lists it as uncharacterized. Lineage: Eukaryota; Metazoa; Chordata; Mammalia; Carnivora; Otariidae. The record is from RefSeq and is a predicted model, not a curated record. The transcript has 3 exons.
UGUCACCAUAGAUAAUGGCAGUAUGACAUGAACCAGGUUCGGUGGACAGGGAGGAGGCCGGCAAGGCCCGUCUGAUCCAAGCCCUCCCUUUGUCCCAUUGUUCCUGGGAUCUGCUGAGCCAAGAUCUGCUCAGCAAACCUUUACCCUUCCUGUUCUUCCUGUGCCUGGCCUUCCUUCCCUCUGAGGCCCCAGACCCUUUCGUCCUUAGCCCAGAAUGACAUAGAUACCUCAUCUUGCCUGACUGUCUUUGGAAUCUCUCACAUUUAUGUGGGUUCUCUGCAUGGAUGUAAUUAAAUUUGAUUUUCUCUUAUUAAUCUGUCUCGUAUCAAUUAAUUUGCAGAGCAGCCAGAAGAACCUCGAGGGGCAGAGGAAGAUUUUUCCUCCUCAGUAGUUGGCCUAACUGGCAGAAUAGACUUCCCUGGCCAGAGACGCUGCAGAGGAGAGAUCCUAGGACGAACCGCCCAGCAGAGGUGAAAGAAGCAUGGCACACACUGACGGACGAGCCUUGCCAUCCCUUCCGACCGGGAGACUGGGCGUGCAUCAAGGUCUUUAGAAGCAAGCAUGUGCUGUCACCUUGCUGGGACAGACCUUAUGAGGUACAGCUAACCACCCACACUGCUAUCAAAAUAAAAGAAAAAUCCUCCUGGGUUCACGCAAACCAUGCCAAAGCAGACCCAGAUCACCGCUCUCAAGACCACUGGAGACAAGCCUUACAGGUCGCAUGCAGAGUGCACAUCCCCUGGGCCAGGUGACCGCACCCAGCCCCAAUACCGGAUGGCCCUGCUCCUGGGACUGGGAAGCUGCUCUAAGGAGCCGCGGGGACAUGUGUUUCCACUUGUUCUUUCCUGUUUGUCCUCGUUAUAAUCCUUGUCUUCCCUCCCAUGGUGGCUCCCUCGCCACUCAGCGACUAGCCCAUUUUCCCUCUCCACAGUCACAGGCUCAGCUUUUAAGAUGUGAAACUUCCAGGGGGAGUUUCAGAGGCGGGAACCCUGGAGGUUCAGAACGAGUUGCCCUAAGAUGUGCUACUUUGGCAUGUGAAUUAUUUCGAACUGAAAACAACCAAGGCCCACAAGACUCAGGAAGAAACGUCAACUUCCCCACUUCCCCAACUGCCUACAAUGUUGUUUUAGAGAGGACCUGCUCCAGGAAGGGAGCUGUCACCAUAGAUAAUGGCAGUAUGACAUGAACCAGGUUCGGUGGACAGGGAGGAGGCCGGCAAGGCCCGUCUGAUCCAAGCCCUCCCUUUGUCCCAUUGUUCCUGGGAUCUGCUGAGCCAAGAUCUGCUCAGCAAACCUUUACCCUUCCUGUUCUUCCUGUGCCUGGCCUUCCUUCCCUCUGAGGCCCCAGACCCUUUCGUCCUUAGCCCAGAAUGACAUAGAUACCUCAUCUUGCCUGACUGUCUUUGGAAUCUCUCACAUUUAUGUGGGUUCUCUGCAUGGAUGUAAUUAAAUUUGAUUUUCUCUUAUUAAUCUGUCUCGUAUCAAUUAAUUUGCAGAGCAGCCAGAAGAACCUCGAGGGGCAGAGGACAUUUUUCUUCCCCAGCACUUUCAAUGACCUGGCGAGGCCACUUGCAGAGGUGACAGGGAGGCGGUGCCACAGAGGUCACAUAGAUGUGGGUCCAAAUUCUGGUUCUGCCAAGUCGUCUCACUUCUCAGAGCCUCCAUUUCCUCAUCUGUAAAGUUGAGGUUGAGAUGCAGCAAGAAUCAAAAUAGACAAUCAAUAGAAAGUGCUUAACACAGUGUCUGCCUGGCAUAGCCCGGUGCAAUCCGUUAGUGUGGGCAUUAUUAGUCUUCUUAUUAGCCUUAUAGAACCCUCCAGUCCUGAGUGGUGCAGAUUUUGCCCUGGGACCCACAAGCAUGGACAGAGGUGCCUGCCCACUUGGUCUGCCUUUGCAAAGGUCUAUGGCUGAUCAGUCUUAACCCCGGUGUGGUAGAAAGAAGCCCAGGUUGGACUCAGAAGACCCGAUGGAAAGCCGGGCUCUGUGGUGUGCCCACCGUGGGACCUUGAUGGAAUUCUUUUACUUCUCUGAGCCUCAGUUCCCUCACUGGCCUAUCUACACACCUUUCAGGGCUGUAGCAAGGCUCAAUGCCAUGAAAUCCUGAGUAUGACACUCCUCUGUAGAUAAGGUGGUAUUGCAAAGAUGUCAGGGCUGGGCUUCCUUCCUCCUCUCCCUGAUGCCCUGGCCAGCUCCCUUGCAACCUGCUGACUGACCAGCAGCAGGGCCCUGCCUGUGCCACCCCAGAGUCUGCCUUGAGUCGGCCUAAUGUUAGCUGCUGGAGGAUUGCACCAUGGCUGUAGCCAUAGCCCCAGUAAUUUGCAUGUUUAUGUCACAAUUUUAGCUAAAUGACUUUCAGUUCAUAGGUGGAGUCACCCAGCUACAUGCAGGAUGAAAUUCCUGCUUGGCCACACUCUGCACCUUGGACUCCAGUUAAGAUGGAACAUGCACAUAUGGGCUUUACUUUUUUUUUAAGAUUUAUUUAUUUAU